GGGCGAAUGGUCUAGGGGUAUGAUAUUCGCUUUGCAUGCUGACUCUGUCAGACGUAAUGCUUGCGAAGGGUCCGGGGUUCAAAUCCCCGUUCGUCCA
Molecule: non-coding RNA, 97 nt
Organism: Xylaria palmicola
Lineage: Eukaryota; Fungi; Ascomycota; Sordariomycetes; Xylariales; Xylariaceae
Source: the annotation of a GenBank genome assembly